RNAcentral lists this ribosomal RNA (710 nucleotides) under uncultured bacterium. RNAcentral's name for it is "bacterial SSU rRNA". It matches the Rfam family "Bacterial small subunit ribosomal RNA", at positions 28 to 764 of the family's 1533-position model. The record is from RNAcentral.
GACGAACGCUGGCGGCAUGCCUAACACAUGCAAGUCGAACGACGCUUAAGUGCGUAGUGGCGAACGGGUGAGUAACGCGUGAAGAACCUACCCCAUACAUCGGGAUAACCAUUGGAAACAAUGGCUAAUACCGAAUAUGCUCACAUUGCGGCAUCGCAGAGUGAGGAAAGGUCCGCCGGUAUGGGAUGGCUUCGCGUCUGAUUAGGUAGUUGGUGGGGUAACGGCCUACCAAGCCUACGAUCAGUAGCCGACUUGAGAGGGUGAUCGGCCACACUGGAACUGAGACACGGUCCAGACUCCUACGGGAGGCAGCAGUGAGGAAUAUUGGGCAAUGGGCGCAAGCCUGACCCAGCAAUGCCGCGUGAGUGAAGAAGGCCUUCGGGUUGUAAAGCUCUUUAGUGAGGGAAGAACAAAAUGACUGUACCUCAAGAAUAAGCCCCGGCUAACUAUGUGCCAGCAGCCGCGGUAAUACAUAGGGGGCAAGCGUUGUCCGGAAUGACUAGGCGUAAAGGGUGCGUAGGCGGCAUAGCAAGUUAGAAGUGAAAGGUAUCGGCUCAACCGGUGAUCCGCUUCUAAAACUGCUAGGCUUGAGUGAUGGAGAGGUAAGUGGAAUUCCUAGUGUAGCGGUAAAAUGCGUAGAUAUUAGGAGGAAGGCCAGUGGCGAAGGCGACUUACUGGACAUUAACUGACGCUGAGGCACGAAAGCGUGG